GGUAAUGCGAAUCACAAACCAUACAGGCAUAUAUUGAUAGUUACCACAGUUACAUUCAGAUUCACACAGAUGCAUCAAAGAGUUUAGUUAGUAAAAUAGGAGUUGCAUUUAUUGAACCAGAGUUUCAUAUCCAAGUAGGGAAAAGGGUCAGUGAUGAUUUAUCAGUUUACAGGAGAAAUGCUCUCAAUACUGUGAGCAGUGCAGUGGAUAGAGGAGGCCAGACCAUUGAGAGCAAUCAUCUACUCAGACUCAAAUUGCAAAGAAGGCUACAAAAAAUAACAACAUUGAUUUGACAGUUAUAGCUUCAGCAAAACAGAAAUGAAGAGCAUUAUGAAACAGAGACUGAGGGAAAGAGAAGCAAUGGGAGGAAGAGAGGAAAGGACGGUGGUUUUACAGAGUUCAGAGGAAAGUGGGAGAAAUGAAGGAGAGAUGAGACAAUCAGAUCAAGACUUAGAUUAGACACACUGGACUAAACAGCACACUAUUUAAAACAG
This is a long non-coding RNA of Sebastes umbrosus (honeycomb rockfish), 494 nucleotides long. RefSeq lists it as uncharacterized. The transcript is spliced from 2 exons. NCBI's taxonomy places the organism in Eukaryota, Metazoa, Chordata, Actinopteri, Perciformes, Sebastidae. The record is from RefSeq and is a predicted model, not a curated record.